UACUUUGGGUUGAUUUUCAGUGAUUUUAUGUUUAGUUUCGAUAUGCUGGAACUUUUAAACUUAAGUAGAUAUUUGAUUGUGUAUUUAAGGUGUAUAUUCUCUUAUACAAGCUAAGAGGAACUGUUUGACGAAGUGGAUUUUGGUUGAUCUAUGACAUAGAGAAAUUGAACUCCUCGAGUGGUGGUAGAACUUGUUGUGUGCUAAAACGCCAAGGUGAUGUGCGAGACGGGAUAUGAAGAUGGUCAUGUGGAGUAGACUUUUUGGAAGCUAUUUUGAAGAUCACAUAUGCAUAUACAUCUAGUUUUUGUAUAUUAUUUUGGGGACUUGUACAUGAUACAUGUGUGGCACUUAUGUACGAAAUUUUGAAGGCUUGUAACUUGAACCAAGUGACUAAUUUUGUUAUUUUAGAGUGUGCUUUUAACUCAAGUUAUGCAAUGUACUAGGUUAUAUUUUGACUUGUCA
Molecule: long non-coding RNA, 462 nt
Organism: Solanum dulcamara
Lineage: Eukaryota; Viridiplantae; Streptophyta; Magnoliopsida; Solanales; Solanaceae
Exons: 2
Source: RefSeq, a predicted model, not a curated record